GGGCGAUUAGCUCAGCGGGAGAGCGCUGCCUUCACCCGGCAGAGGUCGCUGGUUCGAAACCAGCAUCGCCCA
This 72-nucleotide transfer RNA is filed under the name uncultured Chloroflexia bacterium. RNAcentral describes it as "tRNA-Val-CAC". It matches the Rfam family "tRNA". From Rfam's summary of the family: Transfer RNA (tRNA) molecules are approximately 80 nucleotides in length. Their secondary structure includes four short double-helical elements and three loops (D, anti-codon, and T loops). Lineage: Bacteria; Bacillati; Chloroflexota; Chloroflexia. The record is from RNAcentral.